UAGGGAAUCUUCGGCAAUGGGGGCAACCCUGACCGAGCAACGCCGCGUGAGUGAAGAAGGUUUUCGGAUCGUAUAGCUCUGUUGUAAGAGAAGAACGUGUGUGAGAGUGGAAAGUUCACACAGUGACGGUAACUUACCAGAAAGGGACGGCUAACUACGUGCCAGCAGCCGCGGUAAUACGUAGGUCCCGAGCGUUGUCCGGAUUUAUUGGGCGUAAAGCGAGCGCAGGCGGUUUAAUAAGUCUGAAGUUAAAGGCAGUGGCUUAACCAUUGUUCGCUUUGGAAACUGUUAAACUUGAGUGCAGAAGGGGAGAGUGGAAUUCCAUGUGUAGCGGUGAAAUGCGUAGAUAUAUGGAGGAACACCGGUGGCGAAAGCGGCUCUCUGGUCUGUAACUGACGCUGAGGCUCGAAAGCGUGGGGAGCAAACAGG
This 429-nucleotide ribosomal RNA is filed under the name bacterium. RNAcentral describes it as "partial 16S ribosomal RNA". It matches the Rfam family "Bacterial small subunit ribosomal RNA", at positions 355 to 776 of the family's 1533-position model. The record is from RNAcentral.